UCCCAUUCUCCUCCCCUCCAGCUGUUCUCAGAUGCCCAGCCGCUGCAGCCUUUGCAGGUGUACCAGGCGCCCCUCAGCCUGGCCACUGUGCCCCACCAGGCCCUGGGCCGUACCCAGUCCUCCCCUGCUGCCCCUGGGGGCAUGAAGAGCCCCCCAGACCAGCCCGUCAAGCACCUCUUCACCACAGGUGUGGUCUACGACACGUUCAUGCUAAAGCACCAGUGCAUGUGCGGGAACACACACGUGCACCCUGAGCAUGCUGGCCGGAUCCAGAGCAUCUGGUCCCGGCUGCAGGAGACAGGCCUGCUUAGCAAGUGCGAGCGGAUCCGAGGUCGCAAAGCCACGCUAGAUGAGAUCCAGACAGUGCACUCUGAAUACCACACCCUGCUCUAUGGGACCAGUCCCCUCAACCGGCAGAAGCUAGACAGCAAGAAGUUGCUCGGCCCCAUCAGCCAGAAGAUGUAUGCUGUGCUGCCUUGUGGGGGCAUCGGGGUGGACAGUGACACCGUGUGGAAUGAGAUGCACUCCUCCAGUGCUGUGCGCAUGGCAGUGGGCUGCCUGCUGGAGCUGGCCUUCAAGGUGGCUGCAGGAGAGCUCAAGAAUGGAUUUGCCAUCAUCCGGCCCCCAGGACACCACGCCGAGGAAUCCACAGCCAUGGGAUUCUGCUUCUUCAACUCUGUAGCCAUCACCGCAAAACUCCUACAGCAGAAGUUGAACGUGGGCAAGGUCCUCAUCGUGGACUGGG
Molecule: small RNA, 745 nt
Filed under: Pan troglodytes (chimpanzee)
Lineage: Eukaryota; Metazoa; Chordata; Mammalia; Primates; Hominidae
Description: retained intron
Source: RNAcentral